This 503-nucleotide long non-coding RNA is filed under the name Rhinopithecus bieti (black snub-nosed monkey). Its description in RNAcentral is "lncRNA (ENSRBIG00000046104.1)". Lineage: Eukaryota; Metazoa; Chordata; Mammalia; Primates; Cercopithecidae. The record is from RNAcentral.
GCUUGAUCUGUUGACCAAAACUCUAGAGACAUCUUAGAUCCCUUUCUGUUACCACAAGAGGGUGUUUUAAAACUACCUUGCAAGUUCUCAUAACUAAAUACACUUAAAUCUCCAUUUGCUCUAAAACCAAGGCAGCAUGUCACAUGCAGAGCGGGCACAGUGCAUUUCAAAGGCUGACCUGACAGAGGGUGACCAGCAGCUGCGCAGGCGGGACAUUUGCCUUCUGUGUGUUCUUGGCUCCCCGACUCAGCCCUCCCGUGGUUUAUGGCAAGCGGUGCCUGAGCCCGUGCCUGUCUUCAGAUGUUCACAGCACAGUUCCUGGGAAGGUGGAGCCACCAGCCUCUCCCUGACAAGCAAAGUGGAUCCACAAAGGCUGCAGUCACCAGCAUCUUUUCCAUCCUUAAUUAACGGCAUCCUCAAAAGGACACGAUCAGACUGGUAAGACAAGCACUAUUGUCCCACUUCACAGAUGAAGAGCUUGGGGGCCCUGUGGAUGUGUAGGA